Molecule: small nuclear RNA, 237 nt
Filed under: Camelus ferus (Wild Bactrian camel)
Lineage: Eukaryota; Metazoa; Chordata; Mammalia; Artiodactyla; Camelidae
Description: U2 spliceosomal RNA
Rfam family: U2 spliceosomal RNA
About the family: U2 is a small nuclear RNA (snRNA) component of the spliceosome (involved in pre-mRNA splicing). Complementary binding between U2 snRNA (in an area lying towards the 5' end but 3' to hairpin I) and the branchpoint sequence (BPS) of the intron results the bulging out of an unpaired adenosine, on the BPS, which initiates a nucleophilic attack at the intronic 5' splice site, thus starting the first of two transesterification reactions that mediate splicing.
Source: Rfam by way of RNAcentral
AUCGCUUCUCGGCCUUUUGGUUAAGAUCAAAUGUAGUCCCUGUUCUUUUCAGUUUAAUAUCUGAUGCGUCCUCUAGCUAAGGACAGUACAUUAAAUGGAUUUUUGGAGCAGGGAGUUGGACUAGGCGCUUGCUUCGUCCAAUGGAUUUUUGGAGCAGGGAGUUGGACUAGGCACUUGCUCCGUCCGCUGCACGCAUCAACCUGGUAUUGCAAUACUUCCGGGAACGGUGCACCCCUC